RNAcentral lists this transfer RNA (68 nucleotides) under Salmo salar (Atlantic salmon). It matches the Rfam family "tRNA". From Rfam's summary of the family: Transfer RNA (tRNA) molecules are approximately 80 nucleotides in length. Their secondary structure includes four short double-helical elements and three loops (D, anti-codon, and T loops). Further hydrogen bonds mediate the characteristic L-shaped molecular structure. tRNAs have two regions of fundamental functional importance: the anti-codon, which is responsible for specific mRNA codon recognition, and the 3' end, to which the tRNAs corresponding amino acid is attached (by aminoacyl-tRNA synthetases). tRNAs cope with the degeneracy of the genetic code in two manners: having more than one tRNA (with a specific anti-codon) for a particular amino acid; and 'wobble' base-pairing, i.e. permitting non-standard base-pairing at the 3rd anti-codon position. The record is from Rfam by way of RNAcentral. Lineage: Eukaryota; Metazoa; Chordata; Actinopteri; Salmoniformes; Salmonidae.
UCCUGUGUGGCUCAGUUGGUAGAGCAUGGCUCGAACCCAGGGUUGUGGGUUCGAUUCCCACAGGGGAC